UACGUAGGGUGCGAGCGUUGUCCGGAAUUAUUGGGCGUAAAGGGCUCGUAGGCGGUUUGUCGCGUCGGGAGUGAAAACCCAGGGCUUAACUCUGGGCUUGCUUUCGAUACGGGCAGACUAGAGGUAUGCAGGGGAGAACGGAAUUCCUGGUGUAGCGGUGAAAUGCGCAGAUAUCAGGAGGAACACCGGUGGCGAAGGCGGUUCUCUGGGCAUUACCUGACGCUGAGGAGCGAAAGUGUGGGGAGCGAACAGG
Molecule: ribosomal RNA, 253 nt
Filed under: uncultured bacterium
Lineage: Bacteria
Also listed under: 1 other name
Description: partial 16S ribosomal RNA
Rfam family: Bacterial small subunit ribosomal RNA
Source: RNAcentral